AAUUUUUGACAAUGGGGGAAACCCUGAUACAGCCAUCCCGCGUGUAUGAUGAAGGNCUNNGGGUUNUNAAGUACUUUUGGCUGNNNNNAAAAGGCAUCCACUAAUACGGGAUGAUGCUGACGGUAUCUGCAGAAUAAGCACCGGCUAACUACGUGCCAGCAGCCGCGGUAAUACGUAGGGUGCAAGCGUUAAUCGGAAUUACUGGGCGUAAAGCGUGGGGAGGCGGUGCGGAAAGAAAGAUGGGGAAACCCAGGGCUCAACCUUGGAACUGCAUUUUUAACUGCCGAGCUAGAGUAUGUCAGAGGGGGGUAGAAUUCCACGUGUAGCAGUGAAAUGCGUAGAUAUGUGGAGGAAUACCGAUGGCGAAGGCAGCCCCCUGGGAUAAUACUGACGCUCAGACACGAAAGCGUGGGGAGCAAACAGG
RNAcentral lists this ribosomal RNA (424 nucleotides) under uncultured bacterium. RNAcentral describes it as "partial 16S ribosomal RNA". It matches the Rfam family "Bacterial small subunit ribosomal RNA", at positions 360 to 776 of the family's 1533-position model. The record is from RNAcentral.